This 538-nucleotide ribosomal RNA is filed under the name uncultured Halobacterium sp. Its description in RNAcentral is "partial 16S ribosomal RNA". It matches the Rfam family "Archaeal small subunit ribosomal RNA", at positions 341 to 879 of the family's 1478-position model. The record is from RNAcentral. Lineage: Archaea; Methanobacteriati; Methanobacteriota; Halobacteria; Halobacteriales; Halobacteriaceae.
GNGAAACUUUUCCUCUCCACGCCCAUUCNUUAAGGGGNCCCCGAGUNGGAGGGCAUACAGUCCNNCUUUUNGUGACCNUAAGGUGGUCACAGAAUAAGAGNUGGGCAAGACCGGUGCCAGCCGCCGCGGUAAUACCGGCAGCUCGAGUGAUAGCCANUAUUAUUGGGCNUAAAGCGUCCGUAGCCGGCCGAACAGGUCCGUCGGGAAAUCCACCCGCUCAACGGGUGGACGUCCGGCGGAAACCAGUCGGCUUGGGGCCGGGAGACCAGAGAGGUACGUCCGGGGUAGGAGUGAAAUCCUGUAAUCCUGGACGGACCACCGGUAGCGAAAGCGUCUCUGGAGAACGGACCCGACGGUGAGGGACGAAAGCUUGGGUCCCGAACCGGAUUAGAUACCCGGGUAGUCCAAGCUGUAAACGAUGCUCGCUGGGUGCGGCGCAGGCUACGAGCUUGCGCUGUGCCGUAGGGAAGCCGAGAAGCGAGCCGCCUGGGAAGUACGUCCGCAAGGAUGAAACUUAAAGGAAUUGGCGGGGGAGCAC